Molecule: long non-coding RNA, 292 nt
Filed under: Canis lupus dingo (dingo)
Lineage: Eukaryota; Metazoa; Chordata; Mammalia; Carnivora; Canidae
Description: lncRNA (ENSCAFG00020016047.1)
Source: RNAcentral
GAUGUGGGACUCGAUCCAGGGUCUCCAGGAUCACGCCCUGGGCUGCAGGUGGCGCUAAACCUCUGCGCCACUGGGGCUGCCCAAGCUAAUCAAUUUAAAGACAUGGUGGCACCUGUCAAAGUGCAUCAGACACAGCAUCAUUGGAGAUUCUUGGCAGUACCAGUUAUUUUGGUCCAGUCACCGGCUGUGGGGUUUCAACAUGGCUGGUCCUGUUUUCCUUCCAGAGCUGGUAUCAAAUGGCUGUCCCUCAGAGGGCAGUUGCCCUGGUAGCUUCAAAAUCACUUCAGCUUUC